GAUUCAGUCAGUCGAGAGAGGAAGAACAGAAGAGCAGAGAACAGAAGAGCCCAAUGAGGAUCUCACUCUGAAACAUGCUCUUUUGCAGCCAGGAGCCAGCUGCCACUUCCUGCAUUUCUUGCAAGGGUCUCCACAUCCAGAGAAGGAUUUUACUUUUGUCCUCACAUCUGCAAAAACAGCUUUAAAAACACAAAGGUGAUAUAGUGCCUUAAACCUGGUGUUCCUUAGACAGCAGUAAGUGAGUCUGUAACUACACGCUUGGGUAAGGCUUCGGCCAUGUCUGGGCCUCUUCUCUCAGACCCUGAGGAAAACCUGCACAGUCACUCCAUCCUCACUGCAGCCCGGCUUGCCCGCAGAGGAUGGACAGAGGAAGGGAACAAGACAGGGUGGCAAUUUUCCCAUUUUGACUUAUCAGCACAUCAAACUUCUUUCUCCACACCAGAUGGAAAUCAGGGUCCAAAACUUGCAGAGAUUCUUGUGAAGGAGCUUGGGAACAUGCAGGUUCACAUCUUAAACAGCAGGAAGACAGCUACAGAAAGAGAGACAGCCUCUGACAAAAAGGCAGAUGAAACAAAACACACACAAGCAGAAAGACAGACGGGUCUCUGCAGUCAGACAGGCAUCUUGGUCUGGGCCUCUGGCUGUCGGCCCACAUGCAGGCGUCCAAGAAGGUUUAAGGCCCCGAUACUACCUGUCAUCACUGAGAUGUAGCCACCAUUUGAUCCAGAAAGGAAAACUUUAAAAAAUGUAUACACCUAUGGUUAUGCUUUUCCUUCGUUAUGAUAAGAUCAUUUGGUAGACUUCAACAAACCCUUGUGUUAAAUGGUAAUUAUCCCUAAAGGAUCAUGAAUAAAGGAUCCUUUUAAUGAUACAAAAACAAUGUUGCCCAUUUGUGAAAUGUAUGCUUUUAUAGGAAAUUAAAUUAUAAGAAAUAUGUCUUAUGUUGAAUGCAAUUUUGGAUUACUGAUGUGUCAUGAAUUGAUUUGACAUAUUAUACAAUUUUAUUAUAAAUCAUGUGACCCAGUCGUGCCAGAUCAAUGCAGUAUUGUAUUUCCACAAUAUCAAUGUUUAAAUCAAAUUCUGCAUUUUUUGUUGAAAGUUCUAAUUUUCAUUUAAAAAUAUGGUUUGGCACCAGCCUCAUGUUUACACAUCAA
Eleginops maclovinus (Patagonian blennie) is the source of this 1154-nucleotide long non-coding RNA. RefSeq lists it as uncharacterized. NCBI's taxonomy places the organism in Eukaryota, Metazoa, Chordata, Actinopteri, Perciformes, Eleginopidae. The transcript is spliced from 3 exons. The record is from RefSeq and is a predicted model, not a curated record.